RNAcentral lists this unclassified non-coding RNA (245 nucleotides) under uncultured Tricholomataceae. RNAcentral's name for it is "sequence contains ITS1". The record is from RNAcentral. Lineage: Eukaryota; Fungi; Basidiomycota; Agaricomycetes; Agaricales; Tricholomataceae.
UUGAAUAAGCUUGGUUAGGUUGUUUCUGGCUCUUUUGAGAGCAUGUGCACACCUAACACCAACUUUUUUACCACCUGUGCACCUUUUGUAGAUCUGGAAUACCUCUCGAGGCAACUCAGUUUGUAAGGAUUGCUGAGGUGCAAAGCCAAGCUUUUCUUUCACUUUCCAGUCUAUGUUUUACAUUAUAUACCACAGUAUGUUUAAGAAUGUUAUCAAGGGCCUUUAAUUGCCUUUUAAACCUUAUA